This 446-nucleotide ribosomal RNA is filed under the name uncultured bacterium. RNAcentral describes it as "SSU rRNA". It matches the Rfam family "Bacterial small subunit ribosomal RNA", at positions 26 to 518 of the family's 1533-position model. The record is from RNAcentral.
AGAGCGAACGCUGGCGGCAGGCCUAACACAUGCAAGUCGAGCGCCCGUAGCAAUACGGGAGCGGCAGACGGGAGAGUAACACGUGGGAACGCGCCCUUCGGUUCGGAAUAACUCAGGGAAACUUGAGCUAAUACCGGAUACGCCCUUACGGGGAAAGAUUUAUUGCCGAAGGAACGGCCCGCGUCCGAUUAGCUAGUUGGUGAGGUAAUGGCUCACCAAGGCGACGAUCGGUAGCUGGUCUGAGAGGAUGACCAGCCUCACUGGGACUGAGACACGGCCCAGACUCCUACGGGAGGCAGCAGUGGGGAAUAUUGGACAAUGGGCGCAAGCCUGAUCCAGCCAUGCCGCGUGAGUGAUGAAGGCCUUAGGGUUGUAAGCUCUUUUAGCAGGGAAGAUAAUGACGGUACUGCAAGAAAACGCCCGGACUAACUCGCGCCAGCAGCCGC